AUUGAACGCUGGCGGCAGGCCUAACACAUGCAAGUCGAAUGGUAACAGGAAACAGCUUGCUGUUUCGCUGACGAGUGGCGGACGGGUGAGUAAUGUCUGGGAAACUGCGUGAUGGAGGGGGAUAACUACUGGAAACGGUAGCUAAUACCGCAUAACGUCGCAAGACCAAAGAGGGGGACCUUCGGGCCUCUUGCCAUCAGAUGUGCCCAGAUGGGAUUAGCUAGUAGGUGGGGUAACGGCUCACCUAGGCGACGAUCCCUAGCUGGUCUGAGAGGAUGACCAGCCACACUGGAACUGAGACACGGUCCAGACUCCUACGGGAGGCAGCAGUGGGGAAUAUUGCACAAUGGGCGCAAGCCUGAUGCAGCCAUGCCGCGUGUAUGAAGAAGGCCUUCGGGUUGUAAAGUACUUUCAGCGGGGAGGAAGGGAGUAAAGUUAAUACCUUUGCUCAUUGACGUUACCCGCAGAAGAAGCACCGGCUAACUCCGUG
This 490-nucleotide ribosomal RNA is filed under the name uncultured bacterium. RNAcentral describes it as "partial 16S ribosomal RNA". It matches the Rfam family "Bacterial small subunit ribosomal RNA", at positions 30 to 507 of the family's 1533-position model. The record is from RNAcentral.